GACGAACGCUGGCGGUGUGCUUAACACAUGCAAGUGAUGCGACGAACCAGAGCUUGCUCUGGGGCAAAGCCGCGAACGGGUGAGUAACUCGUGGGUAAUCUACCCCGAUUACCGGGACAACCCGAGGAAACUCGGGCUAAUACCGGAUGUGGUACGGCUACAUAAAUCUCUUCACUAAAUGUAGCUUCGGCUUCCGCAUUGGGAGGGGCCCGCGGCCCAUUAGCUUGUUGGUGGGGUCAAGGCCUACCAAGGCGACGAUGGGUAGCUGGUCUGAGAGGACGAUCGGCCACACUGGGACUGAGACACGGCCCAGACUCCUACGGGAGGCAGCAGUGGGGAAUCUUGGGCAAUGGGCGAAAGCGUGACGCAGCAACACCGCGUGAGGGAAGAAGGCCUUAGGGUUGUAAAACUCUUUCAGAUGGGACGAAGGUUCGCCGGUGAAUAGCCGAGAGGAUUGACGGUAACGUCAGAAGAAGCUCCGGCUAACUAAGUGG
RNAcentral lists this ribosomal RNA (494 nucleotides) under uncultured bacterium. RNAcentral's name for it is "partial 16S ribosomal RNA". It matches the Rfam family "Bacterial small subunit ribosomal RNA", at positions 28 to 508 of the family's 1533-position model. The record is from RNAcentral.